AUGCAGUACGAGGUGCGCUAUGUGGCCAUCUCGACAUACCAUCACGACUAUCUUGGUGUGAAGAUGACCAAGGAAGACGCGCAGAGGAUGGGCAUUACCUUGGAGAGGGACGAGUUCUUGAAGGUGCGUCCAAAUUGGUGUUAUGGAAAAGACGAGUCCUGGGUGGCAUUGGUGGAUCUUUGGUGUGAUGAGGCUAGGCCCUGGGCGUCUAUGAGAGUCAAAAACAAGGCUAACCGAGGGAAGGAGGGAGUACAUGCUCAGGGAAACCGAAAACACUAUCUCCACAAGGCUGUUAAUGAGGAGAAACUGAAGCGGCCGCUCUCACACAUGCAGGCAUGGGAGAUCGCCCAUACGCGGAAGGACCCCAAGCCUGGCGAGUCCAAGUACUACAGCAAGAAGACCGCGGGGAGGAAGAAGUCCUACUCCGAAGCGUAUCUGAAGUUACAUCCUGACACACCUGACCCCAUUGCGGCGGAUCUAGACGAGAGGGCGGUGGUGAGCAUGGGGCCCAAGGAGCACGGUCGGGAGGCGGUUCUCGAUGCUGUGAUCACUCCUACUAUCUCCUACACACAGCUCCGUCAGAUCGACCCGAGCCUGAGCCAGCGCAUGAGCCAGCCAGUGACCAGUGCACAGUCCCUCUUUCAGGAGCAACAAUCUGCCUACCUGGAGUACACACGCCAGGAGACCAUGGCGUGGCAUUAG
RNAcentral lists this ribosomal RNA (702 nucleotides) under Triticum aestivum (bread wheat). RNAcentral describes it as "partial small subunit ribosomal RNA". The record is from RNAcentral. Lineage: Eukaryota; Viridiplantae; Streptophyta; Magnoliopsida; Poales; Poaceae.